AGAGUUUGAUCCUGGCUCAGAUUGAACGCUGGCGGCAGGCCUAACACAUGCAAGUCGAGCGGUAGAGAGAAGCUUGCUUCUCUUGAGAGCGGCGGACGGGUGAGUAAUGCCUAGGAAUCUGCCUGGUAGUGGGGGAUAACGUUCGGAAACGGACGCUAAUACCGCAUACGUCCUACGGGAGAAAGCAGGGGACCUUCGGGCCUUGCGCUAUCAGAUGAGCCUAGGUCGGAUUAGCUAGUUGGUGGGGUAAUGGCUCACCAAGGCGACGAUCCGUAACUGGUCUGAGAGGAUGAUCAGUCACACUGGAACUGAGACACGGUCCAGACUCCUACGGGAGGCAGCAGUGGGGAAUAUUGGACAAUGGGCGAAAGCCUGAUCCAGCCAUGCCGCGUGUGUGAAGAAGGUCUUCGGAUUGUAAAGCACUUUAAGUUGGGAGGAAGGGCCGUUACCUAAUACGUGAUGGUUUUGACGUUACCGACAGAAUAAGCACCGGCUAACUCUGUGCCAGCAGCCGCGGUAAUAC
Molecule: ribosomal RNA, 523 nt
Filed under: Pseudomonas sp. C05E
Lineage: Bacteria; Pseudomonadati; Pseudomonadota; Gammaproteobacteria; Pseudomonadales; Pseudomonadaceae
Also listed under: 4 other names
Description: bacterial SSU rRNA
Rfam family: Bacterial small subunit ribosomal RNA
Source: RNAcentral